Molecule: ribosomal RNA, 572 nt
Filed under: uncultured bacterium
Lineage: Bacteria
Description: bacterial SSU rRNA
Rfam family: Bacterial small subunit ribosomal RNA
Source: RNAcentral
CGCGAAUUCGCCCUUAGAGUUUGAUUCUGGCUCAAGAUGAACGCUGGCGGCGUGCCUAACACAUGCAAGUCGAACGAAGCGCAUGCCUGGAACCCUCCGGGGGGAAAGGCAUGUGACUGAGUGGCGGACGGGUGAGUAACGCGUGGGCAACCUGCCCCGCACUGGGGGACAACAGCCGGAAACGGCUGCUAAUACCGCAUAUGCGCACAGCUUUGCAUGAAGCAGUGUGGAAAACUCCGGUGGUGCGGGAUGGGCCCGCGUCUGAUUAGCUGGUUGGCGGGGCAACGGCCCACCAAAGCGACGAUCAGUAGCCGGCCUGAGAGGGUGGACGGCCACAUUGGGACUGAGACACGGCCCAGACUCCUACGGGAGGCAGCAGUGGGGGAUAUUGCACAAUGGGGGGAACCCUGAUGCAGCGACGCCGCGUGAGCGAAGAAGUACCUCGGUAUGUAAAGCUCUAUCAGCAAGGAAGAAAAUGACGGUACCUGACUAAGAAGCCCCGGCUAAAUACGUGCCAACAGCCGCGGUAAUACGUAUGGGGCAAGCGUUAUCCGGAUUUACUGGGUGUAAAA